UUUUUUUUUUUUUUUCCACUUGUGAUUCUAUUUUCCUCUACUUUAUUAUCUUUGGUACAGGGACAACAAAAAAUUUCCUAAAAAAAAUUACUGAUGUGACUUUGUAACCAGAGACCGGCUAAGAAUAGUGCACUGCAGACAAUCUCAUCACAUAUGUUUUAAAAAUAGGAGUUCCCAUCGCACAGCAGCAGAAACCAAUCCGACUAGGAACCAUGAGGUUGCAGGUUCGAUCGCUGGCCUCGCUCAGUGGGUUACGUAUCCCGUGUUGCCGUGAGCUGUGGUGUAGGUCACAGAUGCAGCUCAGAUCUGGUGUUGCUGUGGCUCUGGCAUAGGCCGGCAACAAUAGCUCUGAUUAGAUCCCUAGCCUGGGAACCUCCAUGUGCCUUGGGUGUGGCCCUAAAAAAACCAAAGACAAAAAUAUAAAAAUAAAAAUAAAUUUUAAAAAUAAAAAUUAACAUAAAACAAACACAACAAAUAUGUCACCCUCUAAAAUGCAUUAUACUUUUCUAUUAUAAUUUACCAGUAAUUUUCCCGCUGCUUCUGGAAAGUCUCCAACUACAGAAUUUUUUCAGGACUUAUUAGAGAAACAUUGAAAUAUCUACGCAGAUAUCACUGUAGGGUUAUAUUCAAGUUUUUAUAGGCAGAGGAGGUAAUUUUGUUCAAUGCUAACAUUCUAACACCUAUCACUAAGUAGUUCCACAAUAAAUAUUUGUUUGUUUAUUGUAUAUAUUAAAUAGAAGACAUAAAAUAAUUGCCAUAAUACAUAAUUUUUACACAGAGAAUGUGAAGUUUCUGUGUAAAAACUGUGGAAGACUGAAAACAUAGUCCUACAUGUACACUGAUAAAAUGGUAUUUCUCACAUAAAAAGUACAAAAUAAAUAUCUUCAUCACUUUCAACUAUGAUAUAGAAGCUCUAUUUUUAAAAAGAAAGUACACUCUUGGAGCUCCCGUCAUGGCUCAGUGGUUAACGAAUCUGACUAGGAACCAUGAGGUUGCGGGUUCGAUCCCUGGCCUUACUCAGUGGGUUAAGGAUCCGGCUUUGCCAUGAGCUGUGGUAUAGACGUGGCUUGGAUCCCGCGUUGCUGUGACUCUGGUGUAGGCCGGUGGCUAUAGCUACAAUUAGACCCCUAGCCUGGGAACCUCCAUAUGCCACAGGAGCGACCCAAAAAAUGCCAAAAAAAAAAAAAAAAAAAAGAAGAAUGGUGCAGAUUUGAGCAUUCUAGAAUGCUUUUAGAGAAAAAGAAUCAUCUGUUGGUUGCUUCCAAUGCAUAUACACUGAGUACAGCUGCACUGCUUAACUACAUAAGGAGCUGAGGAAAGUCAUGGUAGGAAGCACAGAAGAAAUGAAGGUAACUAUGUUCUUAGCCUUCAUUUGCACCAACUCUAAUUGGCACACUCAACUUUCUGAAGUUUGACAUUCAACUUAAACCAUAAUUUUGUAUUUUGAAAUGUUCCAUGUGCCAUUUGUUGCUAUGUUUAAAUCUUAAUUAGAGGACUUUAAAAAAAACUAAAAUUAAUAUACAGUAUAGUUUUCAUUUAUUUUUAAACACACACAGUGAAUUCUAGCUGCCAAAUUAUAAUCAAGGAGAAGUCACAUUAGGCCAGAGAAAAGCUCUUCAGCCAACACAUUUUCUGAAAACUAUCGAGACUCUUUCUAACACAUAGAAACUAGAAUAUCAGUGAUUCACCCUUGCUUGUUAUUAAUCUCAGAAAUAUAUAUUAUAGAUGAUCAUUUCUUGUGCAUUGCUCCAUGUAGGAAAGUUGGCAAUUUAUGCUUUAAAAUGUUGGUCCCUUUUGUAGGCAGAUAUAUUGACCCUCUAUCUUGGAAAACCCCUUGCCAAACGUGUUUUCAUUAGAAUUCCUUAAAUUAUGGAACAAAAACCUCAAAGGGGAUUGUUUAUUAGAGGUUUCUAGGCACCCUAUAUACUUGUGACUUGCAAAUGAAUUUUAAAUGAAUGCUAGGGGUGGUGCCAAAAUCCAAAAGAAAAGCCCAUGUGGCAAAAAGAGGUAUCAAAGCCUAAAGGAUUUAUGUUUAAAUUAUUGAAAUUCAAUUGUGGAUGCAUGGUUUAUUUAUGCUGAUUUGCUUUCUGGCUGUAUUGUAUGCUCUAAGUCUACUGGGUUUAGGACAGAAGACAAUGACUUCUUUCCUGUAUAUUUUAAUAUUUUUUCUCCAUCACUUGUCCAUGUUGAUAAGACUAGUGCCUCAAAAAUGAAAGAUUUUCAUGUUUUGUAAGGGUAAGUCAACUUUCCUCUCAUCUAUCUUUAAUUGGCUCAGAGAUCUGGAUUUUCACGGUAGCAUGAGAAAAAAAAAAUUCAUUAGUAGAAGAAGAAAUAUGAAAACCUUCUUUCACACCAGUAAGGGAAAUGAAACAAAAUCUGAUAAAAAUGAAAACACUAUAUACCUAUCUAAUAUAUGAUAGACCCCUUAUUUAAACAUAUCAUGCAUACAUCAUGAACACUGUAGUACAGCAAGCUAUCUAGAAGAGGAAUUGUUUUGCGAGAAGUCUAUUAUUAUAAGCACAAGAUAUAGCCAGAUAUACCCGUUUCUUACUACUAUUUCAAACGAGAGAAGUGCCCUGGGGAAACCAAGGCAUCCAGCUGAGGAUAUAUAACUCCCUUGAUUCUUUCUACAUGAUUCUGGCCUCUUUUCAGUAUUUUCAAACGCUGCCCAACAGCUCUGCCCAGAAGAGUACAAAUAAAGUGAAUAUGAAAAUGCCACUUCAAACUCUGGAUUAGAAAAGAAUGGACGCUUGCUGCCUGUAAUGAUGGUGUCUGAGAAUGCUAGAGAAGCCCCUUCUGCCCCGCUUCUCCAAAUGAUGGGUAUGAGUCUGGGUUAAUUUACUGGCUUUCCGAAAAUUAGGCAAGUCAUUGAAUAGCAGUUCAUCAGUUUCACUCUGUUUGAUGUACAAAAAUUACACUAACAUAAUAUACAAGCAGGAACUUUUUCUGGUCUUAGUGUCAUUGUUUCCCCCCUCCCUCAGGCAGCAUAGAGUCGUCAGAAAGCCUAAGUUAUAAGUUAUAAGAAGAUCCCACUGCUGAGGUGGAGAAUUAAUACUUUUGCAGUGUGAAGUCGUUCUACUGGAAUUGACUCUGUUAAAAAACUGGAGGACACUAAGUAUGUAAAAUAUACUCAGCAUUUUUUCCCAUGAUUCCAUACAAGUGCCCUAAUAUUUUUAAAAGAACUUGCUUCUACGUGGGAAUUAAAAUACAUGCAUUUUUUAUUGAGCAUUCUUUCCAUAUUUUAUUAGAAAAAAGGAAGACCCAGACAAAAGCAGCUAAUUAAAAAAUACUAAGUGUUUCUGUAGUGUAGUGUAUUAACAGUAUUUAAGAAUUAUGUCAUAACACUAAGCUGUAAUUAUAACAUGGCAGAAUAAUGAUAUAAUUCAACAAGCUCAAAGCAAUUCUACUACAUCCAGAUACAGUGAAUACCCAGCAGGGAAUGGCAUUUUACAGCAACUUGCGCUCCUAGUCUAUGCAGGUCAUAUAAUACUUAUCUUUUAUUUCACUGAGUGUGAUCAUGAUGCAAAAUAAUGUGCUCUGUUGUGUAGAAAGGGUUAAGUUAUGGCCUCUGUGAGCCAUUAGGUGGAGAUUUAUUGGGGGAGUUAGUAAGUCUACAGUUCAAUAUGUGGUGAUUGAACAAGGACCAUAGGUGCAGAGACAGAGGGAGGAAGAGAGCUGAGGCAAAUGACAUCCCUAGGGCUUUACAACAUAUGGCCCAUCAGUCAAGGGUCAAGCCCCCUCACAAAUUGCAUGCACUUUACAUAGCCAUCUGCAUCAAUAAAUUACUACUCUCUUGUAGCCAGACACUAAUGCAUGAGCAAGAGGGAUCGGCCACACUUACAAAUAAACUGUUUUAUUUAUUCUUGUUCAUUUUGGCCCAAUACUGUGACUCAUCAUUUCCACACAGGACCUUCCUCCCAUAGUCAAGCUAAUUCACUAACAAACACCUUUAUAUAUAUUUUCCAGACUGAUGGUAUAUAUGCUACAGAGUAACUAUGGUACAGGUGAAGCAGGUCAUUCAUUACCUGUGAAGAUGAAUCUUUAACACAUUAAUAUAUAUUAUUUCUUUCUGCUGAGUUUCCCUCUAUGCCCAAUGACUAGCUUGGUAGAAAAAAAUUCUUGGAAUAUUGCAUUUUGCAUUUUUAAGUUGUCCAUUUGCAAAGUGGAGAAUGCUGGCACUAAAGCAAUCAGUUAUUUCACUGCCAUGUAUAUGAAUAGAAAACCAUUGAAACGGGUGGGGCACUUAAAAAGUCAACCUCUUUUCAUAAAAUGAGAGUAUUUAGCAGGAAAAAUGGAAAAGAAAGAAAAGUGAAGAGAAAGAAGUACCAUUUCAUUUAAUUCUUACAAAAAUCCUCUGAUGUCAAUCAUUAGUAUAAUUAUUUUACAGAUUUAAAAAAACUAAGGACCAGACAAGAUUAAGGGAUAUGCCCUAGAUCACACAGUGAGAAGAGGUAGAACAGAGAUUUAGAGACAGCUCUGCCUGGUCCAAAAUUGACUGCCAUCCAAACUUCCAUGAAAAGAGAAAGAAAGGUGGAGGGAUCUGUGAAAUCCAUGGUAGGACUACAAAGUCAUGGGAUCCUAGGGUGGAAAGGCCCUUGUGUAUGAUCUUGCUUAACCACCUUUCUGUUACUUUAAAAUAAGAAGUCCUCACAGGAGACAGAAACAGGGAGAAGUAGUUCACUUCAAGAAGAAAAAGUAGUAUAGUUAAGAAAAGAUAUGCAUUGUUGGUGGGAAUGCAAAUUGGUGCAGCCAUUAUAGAAAACAGUAUGGAUGUUCCUUAAAAAUUUAAAAAUAAGACUUCCAUAUAAUUGAGAAAUUUCACUACUGGGUAUUUAUUUGAAGAAAAUGAAAACACUAUCUCAAAAAGAUAUAUGCACUAUGUUCAUAGCAGCAUUAUUUAUAAUAGCCAAGGCAUAGAAACAACCUAAGUGUCCAUCAAGAGAUGAAUGGAGAAA
Molecule: long non-coding RNA, 4955 nt
Filed under: Sus scrofa (pig)
Lineage: Eukaryota; Metazoa; Chordata; Mammalia; Artiodactyla; Suidae
Description: lncRNA (ENSSSCG00035014658.1)
Source: RNAcentral